UUUAUUUUGUUUUUCUUACGU
RNAcentral lists this non-coding RNA (21 nucleotides) under Caenorhabditis elegans. The record is from RNAcentral. Lineage: Eukaryota; Metazoa; Nematoda; Chromadorea; Rhabditida; Rhabditidae.